Bos taurus (domestic cattle) is the source of this 452-nucleotide long non-coding RNA. NCBI's taxonomy places the organism in Eukaryota, Metazoa, Chordata, Mammalia, Artiodactyla, Bovidae. The record is from Ensembl.
AAGAGCCUCAUGUUCUUUCCAUUUGCGAGCCUGCCAAAUCUACUGAUAGAAAGGAAUCUGAGAGUACUGAGAUAAAAGGCCAGUCUUCUUCCAGUCCUCCUCAACUCAUUAUAUGAUGCAACCUACCAGCUGUUCAAGCCAGAAACCUAGAAGACAGACUCACCAUCUCUUCUCCCCUACAUCCAAUCCAACCUCAAACCUCUUGACGCCAUGUCCUCCACUCCCAGCAUAGAACCAAGCCACCAUCCUCACUUGCUGAGAUCUCUGCUACAGCCUGGCUGUCUCUCAGCUUCUACUCUUGGAGCCAAGAUCUAUAUUUUGAAGGAAAAACAAAGAGGAAAAAUGAAUGGACACGAAAAGGACAGAUACACAGAGAAUGGCAGAUGGGAAGAAAGUCCGAAACAAGCAGUGUGGCUGAAAGCAAGCAGUGUGGCACGCAUAGACCCAAGAAG